UCCUUGUUCGAUAGCUACGUAACUCUGGG
This 29-nucleotide non-coding RNA is filed under the name Homo sapiens (human). Lineage: Eukaryota; Metazoa; Chordata; Mammalia; Primates; Hominidae. The record is from RNAcentral.